This 427-nucleotide ribosomal RNA is filed under the name uncultured bacterium. RNAcentral describes it as "bacterial SSU rRNA". It matches the Rfam family "Bacterial small subunit ribosomal RNA", at positions 32 to 491 of the family's 1533-position model. The record is from RNAcentral.
AACGCUGGCGGCGUGCCCAACACAUGCAAGUCGAACGAGAAAGUGGAGCAAUCCAUGAGUAAAGUGGCGACCGGGUGAGUAACACGUGACUAACCUACCUUCGAGUGGGGGAUAACCUCGGGAAACCGGGGCUAAUACCGCAUAAUGCCUUCGGGUUAAAGGAGCAAUUCGCUUGAAGAGGGGGUCGCGGCUGAUUAGCUAGUUGGCGGGGUAACGGCCCACCAAGGCGAUGAUCGGUAGCCGGCCUGAGAGGGCGCACGGCCACACUGGAACUGAAACACGGUCCAGACUCCUACGGGAGGCAGCAGUGGGGAAUUUUGCGCAAUGGGGGAAACCCUGACGCAGCAACGCCGCGUGGAGGAUGAAGUCCCUUGGGACGUAAACUCCUUUCGACCGGGACGAUAAUGACGGUACCGGUGGAAGAAGC